AUUGAGUGGCGAACGGGUGCGUAACACGUGAGAAACCUGCCCCGGACUUUGGGAUAACAGUUGGAAACGACUGCUAAUACCGAAUAUCACCGUUUCCCCGCAUGGGGAUUUGUUGAAAGGUCCGCCGGUCCGGGAGGGUCUCACGGCCUAUCAGCUUGUUGGGGGGGUAAUGGCUCACCAAGGCAUCGACGGGUAGCUGGUCUGAGAGGAUGAUCAGCCACACUGGGACUGAGACACGGCCCAG
Molecule: ribosomal RNA, 244 nt
Filed under: uncultured bacterium
Lineage: Bacteria
Description: partial 16S ribosomal RNA
Rfam family: Bacterial small subunit ribosomal RNA
Source: RNAcentral